CCGGGCGCACGGGUGAGUAACGCGUAUGCAACUUGCCUAUCAGGAGGGGAUAACCCGGCGAAAGUCGGACUAAUACCGCAUGAAGCAGGGGCCCCGCAUGGGGAUAUUUGCUAAAGAUUCAUCGCUGAUAGAUAGGCAUGCGUUCCAUUAGGCAGUUGGCGGGGUAACGGCCCACCAAACCGACGAUGGAUAGGGGUUCUGAGAGGAAGGUCCCCCACAUUGGAACUGAGACACGGUCCAA
This 241-nucleotide ribosomal RNA is filed under the name uncultured bacterium. Its description in RNAcentral is "partial 16S ribosomal RNA". It matches the Rfam family "Bacterial small subunit ribosomal RNA", at positions 94 to 334 of the family's 1533-position model. The record is from RNAcentral.